RNAcentral lists this ribosomal RNA (253 nucleotides) under uncultured bacterium. Its description in RNAcentral is "partial 16S ribosomal RNA". It matches the Rfam family "Bacterial small subunit ribosomal RNA", at positions 524 to 776 of the family's 1533-position model. The record is from RNAcentral.
UACAGAGGGGGCAAGCGUUAUUCGGAAUUAUUGGGCGUAAAGGGCGCGUAGGCGGCUUGGCAAGUGGAUGGUGAAAUCCCUCGGCUUAACCGAGGAACUGCCGUCCAAACUGCUUCGCUUGAGACCGGGAGAGGUGAGUGGAAUUCCCGGUGUAGCGGUAAUAUGCGUAGAUAUCGGGAGGAACACCAGUGGCGAAGGCGGCUGUCUGGGGUCUUGCUGACGCUGAGGCACGAAAGCCAGGGGAGCGAACGGG